GGAAGGUGGGAAUACUCCGUGCUGAGGAAACUACACCAGUACGUGUCUACUGUCGGCAAGAAAACAGAAAAAUCUAGAGGUCAGGAACUCGCAAUUGAAGGGAGAAUCCAUGUGCUUGCCUGCAGAGAUCUUAAGCAGGGAAAGGCCCCCGGACAACUGCUUCCUCGGCUUCCUCACUCUCUGGCUUGCACCUCUCGAGUUGUUUCUUCCCAGAAGCCCUUUUUAGAACAGCGCCUCACUGCUUACAAUAGAAAGCAAUGUUGGGUGAGCAUUGCAGAGCCUCAUAGCCCUUUAUCCUGCACGUGUGGUGGGUCCUGCCAGCCUACCCACUUGAGUGUUCUGCCAAGACGCUGACUGCUACGGGCCUCACAGGAUAAGGAACACCGCUGACCGUCAGUCAUGGUGGACCAUGCUAAGAGUGCAUAACCAUCAGGACUGCACGUGCCAACCCUGAAAUCAAGCAACCAGACCCACAAGCAAAUGGGGACGUCAGAGUUAAUUACAGUGAAAAGAAAGGAGGAGGCUGAGCUGGUUGUACAAUACUCACACCGGUUUGCAACUGGAUGCUUCCAACAAGUCACUUUGGAAGGUCACAGGCAGAGGAGGAGAUCAAGACUAGAACAUUCAUCUUCAGCAACUACAGCAAAAUCCUGGAGCCAUAUUUUCAUGUGCCCAUCAUCUUCAGAGAUUAAAGGAGUCCAGGAGCAAGCCUGUGCUAACAGGGGCAUUAGGGGAGAUGAGGCAGGGGCCGAAACAGAUGGAAGAAGGCCAUUCCCUUGGGCGAGUUAGAGUGUGUGGGUUUCUCUGUGAAAGAUCCGCACCUGCACCUGCAGUGCUCUUAGACCCACCUGCCAUCAUCACAAGGCAUCAUGGUGGAGGUCGAGAUAAACCAUCCUGACCUCACUAGGCUCAAAGGCGGCUGGGACUGACAAGCCUGUAGCCUGGCUUACACCACCUAUGAAAACGGGAGCAGGAUGACAUUCUCCGAUCGACUGUCCAGUUCUCCUUUAUCUCUUCUUGGGGGCAUUUGGAGACUUGCUGUGGUUAUUUACGGUUUGGUUCAAUCCAGACUCCACACUCUUCUUGAUUAGAAAGUUAAGCUUCUCUCCUUCUUCCCCUAAUUCCCCUCACAGACACAUUCUGCCUCCAAAACAAAUGCUUCCCAGUAGCUUUGUUCUGCAGUUGCCCUUAACGAGACUACCAAAGGCCCAAGUGCCUCUGAUGGCAUGGGAAAACGAACAUGCUAUUUUCCCUGGGAUCGGCCUCAGCUGUGGGCUCUGCAGACACCAAUGACAUUUUCCUCGGGCUGCUGCAAAGAUGAUGUGAGAAUGACCACAGAGCAAGAGCACCAGGUAGCCUGACACAAGGAAGUAGUCCUAUGGGGCCAGAGAGGUGGCUGACUGGGUAAGACUGCUGUUCCAAGGGUUCAGAUCCCAGCACUCACAUCAGAUAGCUCACAACCAUCUGUGACUGCACUUUCAGAGGCUCCAACUCUUGCCUCUGCAGGUGCCCGCACAUAUGUGAGACACACUCUCUCCCUAGCCUCCAACACACACACACACACACACACACCACACACACACACACACACACACGAGGAGGGGGGGAUAAAAGUAAAUCUUUCUUGGGGGAGACUCCCUCUGGAGCUCUCAGGGAGGGAGGAACCGCUGAACAUACACAUCAAAGCAAGUGCAGGUGACGCCAUCACAAGUCCCAUCUUGAGCCAAGGUAGUGGUGUCACGAUGAUAAAUAGUGGUGUGGAAUGGCAGGAUGAUAAGGGGAGCCGAUUACCAUCAAACAUACUCAUCCGUUUAAUUAGCAAGUCUGAAAGGCCCUCCCCACCCCAGCUGGUGAGUUGGGAUGGUGACCCACAUUUCGAUGAAUAACAGACACCGCUGUGGGACAUUGUUGUGUUCUCAGGGCCAAUGAACCAUUUUCAGGUACAACUUAUUUUUUCUUCUCUGUUCUGGAUAGGAAUGCAACUUGAAUGUAGGAACACAAGAACAAAGUAAACUGGAAACAAGGCAAAAGAAAGAGCCCUUUCUUCUUGACUAAAGCUAGGUUUGGCUUGGUUCUCUUUUGGAAAAUCUCCAUAUUCUGAAGCCAGGCACUCGAGAGAGGCACAGCUCCACAAGGCAGGGAACAGUGAGGGUAGAAGAGAAAGGGACCUGAAUUCAUGCUGCAAUUUCUUUUAAAGGAUUUAUCUAUUUUAAGUGAGAACACUGUUGCUCUCUUCAGACACACCAGUAGAGGGCAUCAGAUCCCAUUACAGAUGGUUGUGAGCUACCAUGUGGUUGCUGGGAAUUGAACUCGGGACCUCAGGAAGAGCAGUCAGUGCUUUUAACUGCUGAGCCUUCUCUCCAGCCCCAUGCUGCAGUUUUUCCAGUGUUCCCAUGGGAGGUGUGUAUUCUGCACACUCAGUAUGACAGGCAGUGUAGCACUGUAGUUAGUUAUGAGGUUGUGCUUAAAGGCUCCAAUAGUCAGGUGGAGCUCUAGCCCACUAAUGUCCAGUUCUGUGACUUCUGAACAACGUGUCCAACUGCCUUAGCUUCAGUUAACCCAUCUCUAAAAGGUACAUUCCUAUCUGCCACAAACGGGAUCACUAAGUGAGUUAAUACUUGGUGGCUAAUAAGUGGUAUUUUCUGGCCAUUUUCAAUGUCGGGAAGAUCAUAGCCUGGUCCUGAGAUCCACUGAGUUUCCAAAUGAUGAUCUGCUUUUCCACUGAGACAUGAUGUCAGCUAAGAAGAAAUAUAAGAGGGAACAGUUAUUUAUAGAGUUCCUGGAUUCUUAGAAGAUCUUGCCCAUGACAGAAACCAUUGUAAUCUUGUCUGAGCUGUCCUUUCAUUAUUGCCUAAGGCCUGCUGGUAGCAUCUGGGAAUUUGGGUGUUCCAUAGUAAUCUCCUUUGAACUAAAAAAUUCCAUCAGGGAGAGAAGCUCAUUAAUACUCAGGAAGUGUGUGUGUGUGUGUGUGUGUGUGUGUGUGUGUGUGUGUGUGUGUGCACAUGUGUGCAUGUUUGUGUGGAUGGGUUUGCUACAUGCAGGCAAUGUCAGUGGAGGACACAAGAUGAACUGCCUGAUGUGGGUGCUAAGAACUGCUUGCCUCUGCAAGAGCAGCAAGUGCUCUUAACUGCUGAGGCAUCUUUCCAACACUUAGAAAGUUUUAAAGGUAGGUUGUUUGAGACUGAGGAAAUAAACAACUCAGAAAUCUCAGGAAAUCCAUGAAGUUUAUCAAAUUCAUAAGGCUCCUUCCUCCCUGUGGUUGUACAUGCAGUAAGAACUGCUGAGGGGAAGAGACUCUCACCUGUCAAGCUGGCUACAAAUUGUGCAGAGAGCUCCAGGGUCCCAGCUUUUGUGAAUCUUCAUUCAUGCUGGGUGGGCUUUGGUGAUGAGGCUGCCUUUAAGUCACCCUACUUCUACAAGAAUUCUUUCACCCAUAUUCCUUUAAGUAACACCAUAAAAUCUCAUUUGUUUACCAAGUUGGGCUUUGGUGGCAUUAUUACUUUGAUCUGUUACCAGUUCCCUAUCUGAGGUGAGUAGACUUUUGUUCAUAUCUUCCCCAAAAUAGUUUCACAUAACACUGAGCUUCUAGGCUUUAGAGCAGUGAUAAAGGCAAAUUCCUAGCAAAUGAUGCUUAUGUCAGAGCAAGCUAGACUGAAACCGUGAGUAACCUUGAUGAUAGAGAAAACAAAGUUUGGGAAAUUGAUCUGAAUCACUGAUAUGUAUCUCUCAUGUCAACAGUAGCUUCGUUUCUUGCUUUAACCCAAAGAAAUGAGAAACUCCACAAGAUCCAAUUUAUCCUUAGCUGUUCUGUCUUUUAGGACCCAUUGGAACCACACACAGAACUAGAUUUUACCAUGGUCUUCUCUUUCUGCAAACUUCAAUCCUCUGUCCUUCUCCAUGUGUCUAGAUAGCCUUCCCAGGUCACUUUCCUCCUCUAGCCACACACCAAGGACUAGUUUGUUGUAGAUCCAGCAUCAAGAUUUGUUCUUGUCUGUGAUGGUGUGAAUGAGAAGUGUCUUCUAUAGGCUCGUGUAUGAACAUCUGGCAUCCUGUCAGUGGUGCUGUUUGGGGUGGGAGUAGGGUUAUAGAACGCUUAAGGGUUGUAGAGCCUGGCUACAGGAAAUGCAUCACUGAAGUAUGUUUUGAGUAUUUGUAGCCUCGCCCAACUUCCUGUUCCCUCUAUCUGCUUCCUGUGUGUAGAUGAAAUGUGACCUCUCUGAUUUCUAACAGCCAGUCCAGCUGCAUGUUCCUGCCUCUGUGCCUUCCCCAGCACAGUGGACCCUAUCCCCCCGGAACUAGAAGCAAAUCCUUUCUUCGUCAACUUGAUCUUGUCAGAUUAUUUUAUCACAGCCUUAGGAAGGUAACUAACACACCAUCUGUCCUCAGCUUUAGCAAGCUGCUUCUCUGAUCUCGGAUCCACUCUGCCUCCAAGAUAGGUCACACAGCCCACACUUGGCUGUUCCUCUGGCAACAGAGAUUGUCCACAGAGUGGUCCCAGACUAGAGCAGGAACAAUUGGAAUCUUAUAGGAGUACUGGCAAUUGGCUCCUUGUGUGACAAAGCCAAGAGGUGCGACUCUGGGCUGUUGUUGACUUCUAGGCACUGUCACACACAGGAGUAGAUUCCAUUUGUUCUAAGAGCUUUCUGGGCUCCUAAACUGUAACUUGUUUCUUUACAUAGGCCGAGAGGCUCCUGUCACUCACUCUAGGGUUGCUAACACUGUAGAUGCUUCUAGAAGACUCUGCCCAGUGUGACUCCUGAUUUCUCCCUCCGCCCUCCUUUUCCCUCUCUAACAUAUGACACACUUUCCACUCUGUGCUAGCAGUCCCACGGGUCCCUUAGUUUCAACAUCUCUAAACUUGUCUUAACUGCUCACCUUUUUGUGGUCUUCACCUGUGGUGCUGUCUUCCUGUGUCCCUAGACCUUCCCCCUGCUCCCAACCCCAACCAUGUCAGCCCCUAACUCUCACUGCUGUUUCUUGCAUGCUCUCUUAUAGCUGUCCUUGUAUCUCCCUGCCAAGGGGGUGAGUCUGGGGUUCUGUUUUGUUGUUUUUAUGUGACCUUAACUCAAUUCUUCAGUUCUCGAUUCUGCUGACAUGUUAUAACCAGAAAGGGCAACUUCCUUGGGAAGAGAGUCUGGUGACCCCAGGCCUGGGCUCUGCACAGCAGCUGACACUGGGCCUUUAAUUUGAAGAUACAUUUCUCACCUCCAGGAUUCCUGUCUUCCAAGGCCCAUCACCUCCUCUGCUCACCCACCUCAGCCCUUUGCUCUGGGCUUUGCUUCUCCUCUGUGCUCCAGUUUGAUCUGAAUGUUGGCACCACCUGAAAAUUCAUAUGUUGAAACCUGGUGCGGGAUACAAUAGUAUCAAGAGGUGGGAGGGGUUUUCUGUGUGUGGGUAAGUCAGAAGGUUCCUCCCUCAUAAAUUAUACAGAGGAUGGCACUUUUGUCUUAGACGACUCAGACUCAAGCACUGGGACUUCUGUUAUUGUAAAUUAUCCUUCCUUCUCCUCUUCCUCUCCCCGCCCCUUCUUGUGUAUGAACUGCCAAAGUGAACAGGGAAGUAUUCUGUCAAAGUGGCCUGAAUAGGCGAAGAAGCUGCUCAAACUCUGCUUUCCCCCAAAGAACCUUC
Molecule: non-coding RNA, 5628 nt
Organism: Rattus norvegicus (Norway rat)
Lineage: Eukaryota; Metazoa; Chordata; Mammalia; Rodentia; Muridae
Source: RefSeq, a predicted model, not a curated record